Molecule: long non-coding RNA, 611 nt
Organism: Culex pipiens pallens (northern house mosquito)
Lineage: Eukaryota; Metazoa; Arthropoda; Insecta; Diptera; Culicidae
Exons: 2
Source: RefSeq, a predicted model, not a curated record
UGCUUUGAUGCCUCUCACUUCACGGUACAGAAAAAAACAGCCGUGAUGGAUUUUUCGAAAAAAUAUCGUAGUUGUGCCGGUGAUGAUUCUUGCGAAGACUCUGCUUACUAAAUAAGCCAAAAACAUUUUCUCCCCUUUUCCGAACGGACAAAAAGAGCUUUGGAUCAGGUUCGUGAUUGGGUACACGGAGUACUCGGCGGAACGGACGGAGACUGGUGGUUGAUGGGGACGAACGCGGAUUCCUUGCUAUAGACCAAGGUUGAAAAUGCCGCAAAAGUUUGCGACAAUCUGUUGGUGCAGUCGGCGGAUUUUGCAAUGGAAAUGACAUCUCGGUACUGGCACCGGUCAACCGACGAAACUAACCUGCACGUGGUCGUUAAGCCUGGUGGCAAGAUGGAGUCAGGGCUCAAACACGAAGAUGAACCAACGAAACACGCAAUAUUUGAAUUGAUCGGCUGGGAUCUCGCCAAGGUCUCCCAAGAUAAAUGCAUCAAGCUGAGGGACACUCCGCUAAUCAACACCUCGGUGACGCAGAUUGAUUCAAACAAUCAAGAGAUUGCAAGUGCGAAUCAAGCGCGAGUGUUUCUAAGUUAGCUAUCGGUUCCCUGCGU